GUGCUCGCUUCGGGAGCACAUAUACUAAAAUUGAAACGAUAUAGAGAUUAGCAUAGCCCCUGUGCAAGGAUAACACACAAAUUCGUGAAGUGUUUCAUAUUUUU
Small nuclear RNA from Rattus rattus (black rat), 104 nucleotides. The record is from RefSeq and is a predicted model, not a curated record. NCBI's taxonomy places the organism in Eukaryota, Metazoa, Chordata, Mammalia, Rodentia, Muridae.